Molecule: non-coding RNA, 1496 nt
Organism: Oncorhynchus mykiss (rainbow trout)
Lineage: Eukaryota; Metazoa; Chordata; Actinopteri; Salmoniformes; Salmonidae
Source: RefSeq, a predicted model, not a curated record
GAAUCAUCAGGUAGUAUUUUUUUUCUCUCAAGUUCAGUAUGGGGCUCAUGUUUAUUCUUUCAUCAUUUCAUUAUUAAACUCCCCUUCUACACCUGUUCUACUGGGUACGACCAUGAAGGAGGUCCUCUGCGUUCUCCACCGCCUCGACACCACUGGUGAGGUUCUCCAUACCUCUGACGGAGGACCUCCUACUACGGGUCGUCACAGUGACCCAGUCCCACAGCCUACCCAGCAGUCCGGCCAGGUCGGAGAUGCCGACUGUCCCUUCCGGAGAAGUAUGACGGCACUCCAUUGAAAUGCCGUGGCUUCCUACUCUAAUGCUCCCUCUAUGUCGCCUAUCAGAUGGGAGCCCCCACCAGCGAGAGGUCCAUAGUUGCCACGGUCAUUUCCCUGCUGAACGGAAGGGCGUUGGAGUGGGUUAUAGCCAUCUGGGAGAGAGGAGCUGGGUUCCUAUGAGAGAUUCAUGGCUCUGUUCAGGGCGGUCUUAAACCAUCCUCCAAAGGGCAGAGAGGAAGCCCUGGAUAUGCGACUAUUGGGAUCCGGCACACUCACGCACAUCACAGCACCACUGACCCUCACCGUGGGACCCAAGCACCAGGAAAGCCUUUCCUUCCUCAUCAUCACUGCACCCGUAGACAAAGUCAUCCUUGGCCUCCCGUGGCUCCAACUCCAUAACCCCACCAUCUUCUCGUCAAAGAUGAGAAUCACCACCUGGUGACCAGAAUGCUGGAGGACCAACUUUCCCCCACCCUGUGAUUCCACGUUGAUGGAGGGCCCUGUGAGUCUCCUCCUGCCCAUCAAUCCUCCUGUAUUGUUGGCCCAGUGUUUUGGGACGUAGAUGUGGACAUCUGCCAGGCUCUAGAGAGGGAACCCGCUCUCCCGCUCUAGAACCCGCUCACCUUGCCAGUCCUCCACUGGGCUGACUCCCUUCCAGUGUGUCCUGGAAUAUCAGCCGGCCCUGGCUCCAUGGACUCAGACCAAGGCCCCUGCAGUGGAUGAGUGAUUCUGGCACACAGAGAAGGUGUGGAACCCCGCCCUCGUGAGGCUCCAGCGUGCCGUCUACCGUCAGAAGGAUCAGGCGGACCGCCACCGCAGCGAGGCUAACGUGUUCCAUCCUUGUGCUCGCUUCUGGCUCUCCACCACGAACCUUCCACUCCACCUGCCCUGCCGGAAGCCGAGCCCCCGGUUUGUGGGGCCCUUCAAGGUGCUCCGGAGGGUCAAUGAGGUAACUUAUCAUUUUGACUCCCAACGUCGUCGGGGUCGGCUCCAGUAUCUGGUGGACUGGGAGGGUACGGUCCUGAGGAGUGCUCUUGGGUACCGGUGGCAAAAAUCCUGGACCCCAACAUCAUCCGGGAUUUCCAUCUCAGCCUCUCAGCUUCUAACCACUAGGCUACCCUGCUGCCCCAUUAGGCAGUAUUGUUUUCUCUCACAUUCAGUACGCUUCUCAUGUUUGUUCUUUUGUAUCAUUUCAUUAUUAAACUCACCUUCUGCUCCUG